UAAAAUGUAAAAAAAAAGUGGUGAACUUCUUAAUCUGGCAGAAGAAAUGUCUAGGCAGCACAGCAUUCAGGCGGUGGCAUGGAUAUUGCUGGUGGCUUUUAGCCAAGUUUAUUGUGAUAAUCAGGAGCAGAAAGCAAAGCAGAGAGAUUUUUAAAACUUGGACUUCAAAGGUGAGAGCAAAAUUGGGGCUAAGAAAGUUGCAGAUGUUAAAGAUCUUACUUCCACUAAAGAAAUGCUAAAGAUUUUUCCCAGAGACAAUAAGAAAGAUGGCUUGAGGGCAUCUCAGGAGCGAGCAAGACCACACCAUCUCAGGCUUAUGAAAGUGAAAGUUUUCUUGAGAAGAAACCAGUGGGGAAUCUUCCUUGCACAAGGGGGCCUAGGAAGUUUUUUCAACAUGCUCAGCCACCCAGGCACACAGAGGCUGAUGCACCCAGGCACACAGAGGCUGAAGCAAUGCAGGAUACUAAAGUUAGGGGGUCAUGGAGGCUUCCACCAAGAUUUCAAAGGAAGGCCAGGGAGGCCAGGAAAAGUGCAGCAGGGCCAGAGUACCUGCAGGCAACUGCUGAGAGGGCCAAUAUGUGAAGAUUUGAGGAAGAAGCAAAAGCUGUAGUGGAGACUAAGAAAUACCAGUAACAUGGGACAUCAUCCUAGGAAAGCUGCAUGAAUCGGGCAGAGACAAGCCAACAGAAAGGACACUUGGGCUGCAACCAAUAAGGCCAUAGGGGCAGAUCUGCACAAACCCUUUGGACGGAACAUCAUGAUGCCAUGUGCCCCCGAUGCCAGAAGUGGAGCUAUAGGACCUGUUUGCCCAGCUGGAUUUCCAUCUUGCUUUGGUCCUAUCCCUUCUUUCUAUGCCCUUAUAUUUGAAUGGAAAUGUCCAUUCUGUACCUUUAUAUAUUGAAUACACUUGUAAAUUGCUUUUAAAUUUACAAGAGCUUACAAUGUAAGAUUGACUUGAGCCUCAAAAAGACUUUGGACUUGAAUUUUGAGUAAUCUCAGAACUGUUGAGACUAUGAGGACUCUUGGGAAUGGACUAAAUGUACUUUGUAUUGUCAGAUGAGUGUGAGAUUUUGGGAACCAGGGGCAGAAUGUUAUGGUUUAUAUUUGGAGUCCCACAAAAGCUCAUGUGUGAGGUAAUGCAAGACGAUUUGGAGGAGAAACGAUUGGGUUAUAGCUUAACCUAAUCUGCUAAUUGAUCCCUGAUGGGAUUAACUGGGUGGUGGCUGGGAGCGGGCAGGGUGUGGCUAGAGGAAGGAGUUCAUUGAGGGCGCUGCUGUGGGGUAUAUAUUUUUUAUCUGAAGAGUGGAGUCUCUCUCUCACUCUCUCUGUCUUCUGAUCAUCAUGUGAGCUGCUUCCCUCCUCCACAUUCUUCCUCCAUGUUGUUCUGCUUCAUCUUGAACCCCAAGGAAUGGAUCCAGCCUUCUAUGGACUAAGACCUAUGAAACCAUGAGCCCUCAAAUAAACUUUUC
RNAcentral lists this long non-coding RNA (1469 nucleotides) under Marmota monax (woodchuck). Lineage: Eukaryota; Metazoa; Chordata; Mammalia; Rodentia; Sciuridae. The record is from RNAcentral.